GAUGAACGCUGGCGGCGUGCCUAAUACAUGCAAGUCGAGCGAACAGACGAGGAGCUUACUCCUCUGACGUUAGCGGCGGACGGGUGAGUAACACGUGGAUAACCUACCUAUAAGACUGGGAUAACUUCGGGAAACCGGAGCUAAUACCGGAUAAUAUAUUGAACCGCAUGGUUCAAUAGUGAAAGACGGUUUUGCUGUCACUUAUAGAUGGAUCCGCGCCGCAUUAGCUAGUUGGUAAGGUAACGGCUUACCAAGGCAACGAUGCGUAGCCGACCUGAGAGGGUGAUCGGCCAUACUGGAACUGAGACACGGUCCAGACUCCUACGGGAGGCAGCAGUAGGGAAUCUUCCGCAAUGGGCGAAAGCCUGACGGAGCAACGCCGCGUGAGUGAUGAAGGUCUUCGGAUCGUAAAACUCUGUUAUUAGGGAAGAACAAAUGUGUAAGUAACUAUGCACGUCUUGACGGUACCUAAUCAGAAAGCCACGGCUAACUACGUG
Molecule: ribosomal RNA, 497 nt
Filed under: uncultured bacterium
Lineage: Bacteria
Description: partial 16S ribosomal RNA
Rfam family: Bacterial small subunit ribosomal RNA
Source: RNAcentral